This is a long non-coding RNA of Herpailurus yagouaroundi (jaguarundi), 807 nucleotides long. RefSeq lists it as uncharacterized. NCBI's taxonomy places the organism in Eukaryota, Metazoa, Chordata, Mammalia, Carnivora, Felidae. The record is from RefSeq and is a predicted model, not a curated record. The transcript is spliced from 2 exons.
GCAGAAAAACACCCUCCCGUUCCAGAUCCAUUAUGUGCUUCAUGAGGGGAUGGUAGCUGGUCUUCAGCAGACAGAGGAUGCUACAUUCUCAAUGCACUCAAUUUACUACCCACAUCUGAAAAUUUUUAUGACAGGUUGAACUUGUGCAAAAUGGGGCUUCCUGAUUGUUGCUGUACCAGAAUUAUCAUCAGUUUAAUGUUAUAAUACGACGCUUGGUGAAUAGAAGCACUCAGGAACCAGUAUCGUUAUUAUUAGAAAACGAGGAAUCUUAGGAGGGCCAAAUGUGCUCGUCUUACCCUUGAGCUCAACUUUUUCUACCGCUGUCUCCAGUUCAGUUUACUACAGAUGCUUACCCCUCGCCUUCAAUGCCCCUCUAAUGGAAGUGCCCCCAAACGUUCUCUAUUCCAAGGUGUCCACGUUUCCUUAGGCUUAAAAGUCACGGGCCAAGCUCCCUACCCUAUGGAUUCUCACCUCCCUUCAAUUUUCUAUCAAGAUAUGGUCCUCACGAGAGAUGGGACACUGACUGUCCUCCCUAAAGCUGCUGCGUAUGUUCAUUUGAAGUCCUUCUCCACUUAGGGAGUUUCUCCUAUUAUGUGUCUUCCCCAAGAUAGCCUGUUGGCUGCUUGAAGAUAGUGAUUAAUUGCCCAGUGUGUAUUUUCUUCUCCCAGUUGCAUAUUUCAUUUUUUAAGCUAUCCCUUAUCCUGUUCAAAAUUUCACAGUCCUAGUUGCAGUCCUCUGAGCUCUAGUUUGUAAAGGUCUCCCUUUAAGUGUUGGAUCUAUCCAUUUAUUAAAAUUUACUGAGGGGCA